This 572-nucleotide ribosomal RNA is filed under the name Euplexaura sp. JDR-2011. Its description in RNAcentral is "eukaryotic LSU rRNA". It matches the Rfam family "Eukaryotic large subunit ribosomal RNA", at positions 135 to 499 of the family's 3401-position model. Lineage: Eukaryota; Metazoa; Cnidaria; Anthozoa; Malacalcyonacea; Euplexauridae. The record is from RNAcentral.
ACGGCGAAUUGUAGUUUCGAGAAGUACUUUCCCGGCGCAUCGAGUUUGCCUAAGUUGCUUGGAACAGCACGUCAUAGAGGGUGACAACCCCGUACGUGGCAAUGCUCGAGCGCUCGCGAUGUGCUUUCGAAGAGUCGGGUUGUUUGGGAAUGCAGCCCAAAACGGGUGGUAAACUCCAUCUAAAGCUAAAUACAGGCACGAGACCGAUAGCGAACAAGUACCGUGAGGGAAAGAUGAAAAGGACUUUGAAAAGAGAGUUAAAAAGUACGUGAAACCGUUGAAAGGGAAGCGAAUGGAGUUAGCAAUUCGCCCUGCCAGACUCAGUUGCUCGUGCUUCGCGACGUACGCGCUCUCGAUCCGCAUGGACGAGACGUGUGCGGGUGCGAUGUGCGGUCGGCGCACUUCUGGCGAGCGAGCGUCAGCGUCGGUUGUCGAUGGGCGACAAGGACACAAGGAAGGUGGGCCUGCCUUCACGGCCGGUUGUUAAGCCUUGUGCUCGAAUAGCUCGGCGGCGACCGUGGCUCUGCGACGUGUGCCUGGCUGGGACUCGAACGAUCGGUCCGGCAUGUCGA